Molecule: long non-coding RNA, 557 nt
Organism: Prinia subflava (tawny-flanked prinia)
Lineage: Eukaryota; Metazoa; Chordata; Aves; Passeriformes; Cisticolidae
Exons: 4
Source: RefSeq, a predicted model, not a curated record
GGCGGGAACGCUCCCGCUCCAGCUCCCGGGGAAAGGCGGGCCAGUGCCCGGAGCGGGCCUUCUAAGGACUUAUCCCAGCCUGGGCUUUCCGAACCGUCUGGGAGAAAGGUGAAGAACAGCUAGUCAGCUCAAAAACAUGAGCACAACAGGAGUAUCUAAGCCAACUCCCUCCAAAAGCAUCUCAGGCAGACCCUAAGCAGGCCCCUCUGCAAGGCAACUUGUGUUUGGACUUCAGACCUGUCAGGUGUGAAAAGGCAUCCAGAGUUAUCAUCUGUAUCUGUUUCCUUGCUGAUGCCUCUCACAGGGAUAAGACUGCUCUCUCAGACUGCUGUAUGACUGCAGCCUCAGACACGGAGAGCAGAGAAGGCUGCAGAAGCCAUCCUCUUUACUUCAGCUGACAGCAAAAUGCAGAUUUCUUGAAUGUGUGCAAAGGGUAUUGGCUGCCAUACAGGUAUUCAGAAUCCUGGGUGCUGGAAAUCAAGUUUCAGAACAUUAACUUGGUAAUUGUUUUGUGAUAGUGGACCAAUAUUUGUUUAUUGACCAGGACUGGAAUUAGA